Molecule: non-coding RNA, 1534 nt
Organism: Nothobranchius furzeri (turquoise killifish)
Lineage: Eukaryota; Metazoa; Chordata; Actinopteri; Cyprinodontiformes; Nothobranchiidae
Source: RefSeq, a predicted model, not a curated record
AAAAUUUUAUCCGGUGGCGGUUUUACCGUUAGGCAUAGGUCGGCAGCCGCCUGGGGCCCCCUUAUGUUGGGGGCCCCUAGCCCUGACUGCUGGCACCCCUCUGUUAAUGCCACAAUGGACUAUUCCUUUAAAGAGCAAGUAACGUCUAAAUUAACUUUUUUUUGCUGAUGAACUGUAUAAAUGAGUGUCUAAUAGUGUUUUAAAUAUGUGUGUUCAUUAUUUUAGCAUUUUGGUGCAUUUUCUUUAAAAAUUAAAAAUUCUGCCUAAAUACCACAGUAUAGCGCCACCUUCAGCUUAAAACAUAGAAUUUGACUCAUUUUGAAUAAAUUUUAGCCAAUGGCUAAAGAGUAAGAUACUACGUAAACCAGUAGAGUACUACGUAGCAGCUCUGUGUCAAAGUUAUAAAGCAACAAGCGUCUCGGCCACGCCUUGUGGCGAGUUGGGAGUUGGAUUUGCAAGCGAGUGUAGGAGGUUAGCCGUAGUUCAGCAUUAGCAUAUAGCAUUAGCAUAUCCUAGUCUUUAGCGUAGCCUUUAGUGUUAUACAUACUUAUUUAGUGUUAGCUUGGCUGUUGGAUAGUGUAGUUUAGUUAGUGUUUGGCUGUUAGUGUUAUUAGGAAAGUAGUUCAGGUUUAGUGCUCCAUAUCGUGUUAGUAUGGUGAGAAGGUGUAGUGCAGUAUGGUUGCGGUGGCUCUGUGGGGUUGUACUCCUUUCCGCUGGACUUAGAAAUUAGGCGCCAGCGGUUGCGUGUCUGGAAAACAUUCAGCUCCCGCCUGGUGCUGUAGUUUGCAACCAGCAUUUUACCCGCGAUUCUGCACGUCUCCGUUCCAAGAGGGAGGCUGUGCCCACCGUGGCUCUUCAGCGAUUUAGAUGCAGCCCACCGACUCUGCUCCCCCACCACGGCGGGCUCCAGUCUGAGGCUAAAUCUACCCAAGACACUGGCUGUCAGACUGAUUUAGUAAUCUGCAAGAAUGCACUUGUCCAGGCUGACAUGAAGCCUUACCCGUAGCAAAGAGCUCACAGCCUCAGUGUGUCUGGUGACACAGGGACCAUGACGGAAAUUCAUCUUCCAGAAAGUCCCAGAGCAGCGUCCACACCCCUGAAAAGACCAAGAUGUGAGGUGUCUGCUGUUGAUUCCAGCUUCCACCUCAGUGACAGUGCAAGCUCAGUGAACUGUUCAAGGAGGCUACUGAUUCUGCCCCUGUGACACUUGGUGGUGACGUGUGAGCUGAUUCACCUGGACACUCAGCAAAAUAUGGACUCUACACCAUGAAGCAGGCACACGUUAAUACUCUAUAAGAGCACAUAAGCCUGGCUGAUCACCUGAUAACUCCUGUCAUCUGGUUAUGACAGCAUGAGGACGUCCUCACACACCUGUAACCUAUCAGCUCAUCUGGCAGAAUAGAGAGAGAAGAGACAACACCACAUCUCCUGUUCCUGGAAAGCCUUCAGCCAUCCUUCGAUGACUGAGAACCUCCAUCAGCUCUGUCUCCUGUCUGCCUACAAUUAUUAUAAUAAAAAUUGUGUUUGACAAGUU